This 495-nucleotide ribosomal RNA is filed under the name uncultured bacterium. RNAcentral's name for it is "partial 16S ribosomal RNA". It matches the Rfam family "Bacterial small subunit ribosomal RNA", at positions 28 to 507 of the family's 1533-position model. The record is from RNAcentral.
GACGAACGCUGGCGGCGUGCCUAAUACAUGCCAGUAGAACGCUGAAGGAGGAGCUUGCUCUUCUGGAUGAGUUGCGAACGGGUGAGUAACGCGUAGGUAACCUGCCUGGUAGCGGGGGAUAACUAUUGGAAACGAUAGCUAAUACCGCAUAAGAGUAGAUGUUGCAUGACAUUUACUUAAAAGGUGCAAUUGCAUCACUACCAGAUGGACCUGCGUUGUAUUAGCUAGUUGGUGGGGUAACGGCUUACCAAGGCGACGAUACAUAGCCGACCUGAGAGGGUGAUCGGCCACACUGGGACUGAGACACGGCCCAGACUCCUACGGGAGGCAGCAGUAGGGAAUCUUCGGCAAUGGACGGAAGUCUGACCGAGCAACGCCGCGUGAGUGAAGAAGGUUUUCGGAUCGUAAAGCUCUGUUGUAAGAGAAGAACGAGUGUGAGAGUGGAAAGUUCACACUGUGACGGUAUCUUACCAGAAAGGGACGGCUAACUACGUG